RNAcentral lists this long non-coding RNA (806 nucleotides) under Chrysemys picta bellii (western painted turtle). Its description in RNAcentral is "lncRNA (ENSCPBG00000012696.1)". The record is from RNAcentral. Lineage: Eukaryota; Metazoa; Chordata; Testudines; Emydidae.
AUGUUGCUGGAGGGUUAUUACUGGGGUGACAGGGUUGUGUGUGUUGUGGUGACGGGGUUGUCGUGUCCCACCCCCAGACAGCUUCACCUGGCGAGGCACCAACACGGGGGCAGCGUUGGGCCAGGUUCUGUCCCUGAUCCAGACGGAGCCGUCCAGAACCAGCACCAGGAAACACGUCGUGGUGCUGAUCACAAGUGGGAGACACAAUGUGGGGCCGGACCCAGCCGGGGUCUCAGCACAAAUCCAGGCGGCCAUCCCCAACCCGGACCAGAACUUGGAUAUCUUCGCUCUGGGGGUCGGGGUUGCCCACAAGGACCAGAUGGAGCAAAUCGCCACGAAGAAGCCGGGAACCCAAAGAUCCUUCUACCUGCAGAGCUACCGUGACCUGGGGGCCUACACCCAGCUGGUGCAGGGCUUGGGCAAAGGUCUCAGCUGUGGGGUGCGGGACGUGGGGCGCAGCCGGUCCAUCGGGCGGGUUUUCCGUGGGGUGCAGGUGAAGAAGCAGUGGCCCUGGCAGGUGUAUCUGAAGUUGGAAGGCAAGGUAGGAGCCCCCCCGAUCCCCUCCCCCCAGGCCCCCCCAUCCCUCCACUGAUCCAUCUUUCUCCCCCCCCAGAAUCAGCCCUAUAUUAUGGCAGGGGGCUCAAUCAUAGCCCCCUCCUGGAUCCUGACCGCGGCUCACAACGUCUGGGACGCAGCGGCCGGGCGAUCCAUGGCCCCCGAGCAAGUGUCUGUGGUUGUAGGUGAGACUGGCACGAGGGGGCGUCAGGGGUCAAGGGCCUCUGCAGGGGGCUCUGGGGGCAUGGGGA